GAAAGAAGGCAUGUUCAACAAUGCGAAUGUUCUUUUUCGAACUAAAUUUGUCGAUGGUGUUUCAACUGUCCAGAGGACUGUUGCUGCUAAGCAGAACAAAUGAUUGCUAUUAUAUUACCAGGUUGUAUCGGUCUACUUUGUUGGAGUUUUAUUAUUUUCAUUCAUAUGUUUGAUGGAGUUAUUGUUGUAACUAAUGUUCUGAAGUUGUCCACUAAUGCUUACUUAAUAUGUAAUUAAUAUUACACUGUUGUAAGUGUAACGCAAAGUUCUAAUUUUCUAAAAUUCAUGUUUUCCAAUUUUUGUGGUUUGUAAUUCAACAUACCACCAUGAUGCUCAGUUC
Molecule: unclassified non-coding RNA, 340 nt
Filed under: Hevea brasiliensis (rubber tree)
Lineage: Eukaryota; Viridiplantae; Streptophyta; Magnoliopsida; Malpighiales; Euphorbiaceae
Source: RNAcentral